AAGGGUGACCAGCUCAUCCUAAUUUGCCUAGAAUUUUCCUUGUUUCAGCAAAGUCACAUUUCUAAGGAAUUUCUGAAUCCUGGGCAAACUGGAACAGCUGGCUACCCUACUUCCAA
Molecule: microRNA precursor, 116 nt
Filed under: Marmota monax (woodchuck)
Lineage: Eukaryota; Metazoa; Chordata; Mammalia; Rodentia; Sciuridae
Source: RNAcentral